RNAcentral lists this ribosomal RNA (267 nucleotides) under uncultured Cytophagales bacterium. RNAcentral's name for it is "partial 16S small subunit ribosomal RNA". It matches the Rfam family "Bacterial small subunit ribosomal RNA", at positions 1106 to 1373 of the family's 1533-position model. Lineage: Bacteria; Pseudomonadati; Bacteroidota; Sphingobacteriia; Sphingobacteriales. The record is from RNAcentral.
UAUCCUUAGUUGCCAGCGAGUAAUGUCGGGACUCUAAGGAAACAGCCGGUGCAAACAGUGAGGAAGGUGGGGAUGAAGUCAAAUAAUCACGGCCCUUACGUCCAGGGCUACACACGUGCUACAAUGGCGCAUACAAAGGGCAGCUACAUGGUGACAUGAUGCUAAUCUCUAAAGUGCGUCUCAGUUCGGAUCGAAGCCUGCAACUCGACUUCGUGAAGCUGGAAUCGCUAGUAAUCGUAUAUCAGCAAUGAUACGGUGAAUACGUUC